Molecule: transfer RNA, 530 nt
Filed under: uncultured Gammaproteobacteria bacterium
Lineage: Bacteria; Pseudomonadati; Pseudomonadota; Gammaproteobacteria
Description: partial 16S-23S ribosomal RNA intergenic spacer
Rfam family: tRNA (bases 100-173)
Source: RNAcentral
CCUCCUUUUUAAGAGAACCUAUGACUACGGCUGAUAUGAGCCCCUUCACAAAUUACCUGACAAACGCAAUGCAGAGCAAAUUAGCUUAGCAGUAUCAUUGGGUCUGUAGCUCAGUUGGUUAGAGCGCACCCCUGAUAAGGGUGAGGUCGGAAGUUCAAGUCCUCCCAGACCCACCACACUAAAGAGUUAAUUCUCUUAAGACUUAACAAUUAAGAAGUUUCGUUUUAAGAUGUUCCUACUAUACUGGUAUACUGGGGCCAUAGCUCAGCUGGGAGAGCGCCUGCUUUGCACGCAGGAGGUCGGCGGUUCGAUCCCGCCUGGCUCCACCAUAGAAUUAUUAAUAAAGGAUAAAGAAUAUUUGGCUUUAUGUUCUCUUAAUGACUUUGUGUCAUUAGUGUGAUCUUUAACAACUAGAAUUUAGUUUAAACUCAAACUCUAAACUAAGAGUUUGAGACACUGUAUUUUUAUGAGUUAACUCAAUGUUAAUGGGAGCAUAUACGAUUAUACAAGAGUUAUUUGAUGUUAUAUGA